This 253-nucleotide ribosomal RNA is filed under the name uncultured bacterium. RNAcentral describes it as "partial 16S ribosomal RNA". It matches the Rfam family "Bacterial small subunit ribosomal RNA", at positions 524 to 776 of the family's 1533-position model. The record is from RNAcentral.
UACGGAGGGUGCAAGCGUUAAUCGGAAUUACUGGGCGUAAAGGGUGCGUAGGCGGUUUAAUAAGUUAAGUGUGAAAUAUCUGGGCUUAACCUGGAGAAGUCACUUAAGACUGUUAGACUUGAGUAUGGGAGAGGGUAGUGGAAUUUCCGGUGUAGCGGUGAAAUGCGUAGAGAUCGGAAGGAACACCAGUGGCGAAGGCGGCUACCUGGCCCAAUACUGACGCUGAGGCACGAAAGCGUGGGGAGCAAACAGG